UGGGGAAUAUUGCACAAUGGGCGCAAGCCUGAUGCAGCCAUGCCGCGUGUGUGAAGAAGGCCUUCGGGUUGUAAAGCACUUUCAGCGAGGAGGAAGGUGGUGAGCUUAAUACGCUCAUCAAUUGACGUUACUCGCAGAAGAAGCACCGGCUAACUCCGUGCCAGCAGCCGCGGUAAUACGGAGGGUGCAAGCGUUAAUCGGAAUUACUGGGCGUAAAGCGCACGCAGGCGGUUUGUUAAGUCAGAUGUGAAAUCCCCGGGCUCAACCUGGGAACUGCAUUUGAAACUGGCAAGCUAGAGUCUCGUAGAGGGGGGUAGAAUUCCAGGUGUAGCGGUGAAAUGCGUAGAGAUCUGGAGGAAUACCGGUGGCGAAGGCGGCCCCCUGGACGAAGACUGACGCUCAGGUGCGAAAGGCGUGGGGCAGCAAACAGGAUUAGAUACCCUGGUAGUCCACGCUGUAAACGAUGUCGAUUUUGGAGGUUGUGCCCCUUGAGGCGUGGCUUCCGGAGCUAACGCGUUAAAUCGACCGCCUGGGGAGUACGGCCGCAAGGUUAAAACUCAAAUGAAUUGCGGGGUCUAGCUG
This 582-nucleotide ribosomal RNA is filed under the name uncultured bacterium. RNAcentral's name for it is "partial 16S ribosomal RNA". It matches the Rfam family "Bacterial small subunit ribosomal RNA", at positions 355 to 926 of the family's 1533-position model. The record is from RNAcentral.